This 76-nucleotide transfer RNA is filed under the name Trichococcus flocculiformis. RNAcentral's name for it is "tRNA_Arg_CCT". It matches the Rfam family "tRNA". Rfam says of the family: Transfer RNA (tRNA) molecules are approximately 80 nucleotides in length. Their secondary structure includes four short double-helical elements and three loops (D, anti-codon, and T loops). Lineage: Bacteria; Bacillati; Bacillota; Bacilli; Lactobacillales; Carnobacteriaceae. RNAcentral also lists the same sequence under 3 other names. The record is from RNAcentral.
GGUCCUAUAGCUCAGCGGAUAGAGCACUCGUUUCCUAAACGAGGUGUCGGAAGUUCAAUUCUUCUUAGGGCCGUCA